This 253-nucleotide ribosomal RNA is filed under the name uncultured bacterium. Its description in RNAcentral is "partial 16S ribosomal RNA". It matches the Rfam family "Bacterial small subunit ribosomal RNA", at positions 524 to 776 of the family's 1533-position model. The record is from RNAcentral.
GACAGAGGCCCCAAGCGUUAGGCGGAAUCACUGGGCUUAAAGCGUGUGUAGGCGGACGCCUAAGUGUCUUGUGAAAUCCCACGGCUCACCCGUGGAACUGCUGGGCAUACUGGGCGUCUUGGGCCAACUAGGGGCAGCCGGAACAAGCGGUGGAGCGGUGAAAUGCGUAGAUAUCGAGAGGAACACCUGCGGCGAAGGCGGGUUGCUGGGCUGACACUGACGCUGAGGCGCGAAAGCUAGGGGAGCGAACGGG